AACGAACGCUGGCGGCAUGCCUAACACAUGCAAGUCGAACGAUUGCCUUCGGGUGAUAGUGGCGCACGGGUGCGUAACGCGUGGGAAUCUGCCCUUAGGUUCGGAAUAACAGCUGGAAACGGCUGCUAAUACCGGACGAUAUCGCGAGAUCAAAGAUUUAUCGCCUGAGGAUGAGCCCGCGUUGGAUUAGGUAGUUGGUGGGGUAAAGGCCUACCAAGCCGACGAUCCAUAGCUGGUCUGAGAGGAUGAUCAGCCACACUGGGACUGAGACACGGCCCAGACUCCUACGGGAGGCAGCAGUGGGGAAUAUUGGACAAUGGGCGCAAGCCUGAUCCAGCAAUGCCGUGUGAGUGAUGAAGGCCCUAGGGCUGUAAAGCUCUUUUACCCGGGAAGAUAAUGACUGUACCGGGAGAAUAAGCCCCGGCUAACUCCGUG
RNAcentral lists this ribosomal RNA (435 nucleotides) under uncultured bacterium. RNAcentral describes it as "partial 16S ribosomal RNA". It matches the Rfam family "Bacterial small subunit ribosomal RNA", at positions 29 to 507 of the family's 1533-position model. The record is from RNAcentral.